Callithrix jacchus (white-tufted-ear marmoset) is the source of this 684-nucleotide long non-coding RNA. RefSeq lists it as uncharacterized. Lineage: Eukaryota; Metazoa; Chordata; Mammalia; Primates; Cebidae. The record is from RefSeq and is a predicted model, not a curated record.
ACCCUGUAAUUAAAGCAGAAGUAAACAGUAAAAGAAUAUCAAAUUGCAGCUCGCUUCAGGAAUAGAUGCCCAAAUGAAGCUGCUGCUUGUCCUAACCUGUGCUUUGAGACAGAAGGGCCACCUCUCUGGGGAGCACUCCAACAGGUCCCCAGAUGUGACACAUUACGAUUAAGACCCGAGGAUUUGGAGCUCAGAGAGGAGAAAAGCUAUGUGAUGUGCCUACUCCCCCUUUUCCUUCUGCCAUGAAGCUUCCUGAGGCCUUCCAAGUAGCAGAUGCCACUAUGCUGCAGAACUGAGACUUGAAGGACAUUCUGCUAAAAUUCUAGAGACCAGAGCCAGGGCAACUCUUCUCUGGAGUGCCAGCACCACUGUCGGCACCAUCACUAUGGCUGUUGACCACCACUAUUAUGGCAGUCAGCCACCACCAAGAUCACCGACUAAUCUUCUUCUACUCUCUUAGCCACCUAUUAGUUGAUUAAACCAGACCAAGGAUUAAAAGUUUAUGGAGCAGGAACUCUGUCUGUUUUAAUCAAUGUUGAAUACCCAGUGCUUAGCACAAUGCUUAUCACAUAGUAGAUGCUCAAUAAAUACGUAUCAAAUGAAUGAGUAUUUCUCUGAUCUAUGGAGUGUCUGUUUUUACUACUGAUUUAUUUACUCAGUGCUUAGCACAAUGUUUGUCACAUA